UAAAAAAAUACUUCUACCUUUAUUGGCAUUGUGUGUGGAAAAAGUGGUCUAUUUAAGGGAAAUACAGGCUAGUAAAAUAUUUGUUAUUUGCACUAGGAGAUAAUUUAAGGAACACCUUCUCAAAUGUCAUCAGACUUACUUUAAAGGCAAACCAAGUCCAAAAGUUCUAAAUUGAGAAAGCUGGAAGGGAAACUUAAAUAUGAUCCAACCCCCUGUUUUAUGACCAGAGGGGAAUGGAUUGGCCAAGAUGUCGGGGAUGGUUAAUAGGACCUCAGGCUCCUGGUCAGUGUGGGGCACUCAGACCCAUGAGUCUAGAAAGCAAAGAACAACUGGAUUCAUGUUUCCUAUGUCAGAGUCCACCCAGUUGCAGUUCCACCUGAGUCCUUCACAGACAUUAAAGGUAGGAUUCACAUCAUGGAAUAAGCAUUUUUCUACUAGCGAUUUGUUUAAUAAAGCUUUAUUGGAAUAUAAUUUGCAUGCCAUAACAUUUCCCCUUUUAGAUGGAAAUAAUAGACACUGGGAACUCCAAAAGAGCAGGGAGGAGAGGGAGGGUUGAAAAAUUACCUGUUGGGUAUAACAUUCGAUUGUAAUCAGUUUCCAGUGUUUUGCAUUCCUACCAGCCGUGUAAUGCACUAUGAACAUUCAUUUGGGGGAUGAAUACCCUAGGAGCCCAAUCCCCACCAUUACAUGUGUAAUACCCAUGUAAUAAACAAGCACAUGUACCCCAAAUAAAAAAAAAUCCCCUUUUAAAGUGUGUCAUUCACUGGUUUUCAGUGUAUUCACAGAGUUAUGCAACCAUCACCACAAACCAAAUGUUUAACAUUUCCAUCACCCACUUAGCCCCCUCAAAGAAAUCCUAGACCUACUAGCAGCCACUCCCCAUUACCCACUUCCAGGCUCUGGCAACCACCCUUCAGCUUCCAGUCUUUAUAGAUUUGCAUGUGCUGGGUGUUUUCAUAGAAAAGGAGUGUGUGCCCUUUUGAAUCUGAUUUCUUUCACUCAGCAGAUUCAUCCAUGCUUCAGUUCAUCCACGUUGUAACAUGGAUUAGUACUUCAUUCCUUUUCAUAGCCAAGUAAUAUUCCACUUUAUGGCUAUACUACAUUUUAUUGAUGUACAUUUGAGUUGUUUACCCUUUUUGGCUGUUAGGAAUAAUGCUCUGUGAACAUUUGUUUACAGAGUUUUUGUGUAUACGUAUGUUUUCAGUUUCCUUAGGUGUACACCCAGUAGUAGAAUUGCUAGGUCAUAUGGGAAUUCUGUGUUUAACCUUUUGAGGAGCUGCCAGACGGUUUUCCAAAGUGGCUGCACCGUUUGACAUUCCCUCCAGCCGUGUAUGAGGGUUCGCUUUCUCCACGCCCUCGCUAACACCUGCGAUUUUCUUGUUAUGUGAGCCUUCUCGUGAAUGUUAUUCCACUGACAUUAAUCUCAUGGCACCGUCAGUGAUUGAAAUGAUCUUCUUGUUCUCUGUCUUCGCCUCUGGAUCAUGACCUUCCCGAGGACUGAAUGUGUCAUAAAAUCCCCAGUCUCUAGCAGUACAUGUGUAUUGAGUUGGAUCACAUGCUGCUGGACCCAUGGCUUGUCAUCAUGUGUACAUGUAGCCGACUUUGACUCUCAACUGUGUCAGUUCUGGGCUAGAGACUGUUACUUUAUACAAAGAGAGAUAAACUGUGUCCCUUGUCCUCAAAUAAAUAGGUUGGACUACUAGGGUAUUUACAAAACAGAGUGUAGGUGAAGAAAAGGAAAUUUCAGUGACAAAUUAGGAGGCACUUAAGAAAUACUGGACGUUUUCAAUUAAUUUGGCAAAAUGAAAAGUAAUAGAUACAUUUCCUUGGUUGUGGCUGUGAUGGGUAGAGACAGUGGUGCUGAACCUCGCUCACACAUGUGAAAGCUUGUCUGCUCCAGAAGUAGAAGAGAGCCUUCCAGUUGCUAAGGCUCUGUCCAGGGCCGGGCUCCUGCCAGGUGGCAGGCAGAGGCUUCCUCAAGCCCUGCGUCCCUCUUCUGGGUUCAGAGACCACUCCCAGGCUUGGUUCUAUCAGCACACUCCAUGCAUACAGGUGCAGAAUGCUCUCCCCGGCCACCCGAGACCACACCUCAGCCAGGACCUUGUGCAGAGCUUGCUUGGGCCAAGGUACACGAUCCAGGAAAGCUGAGCUCAAGAAAAAUGAAUCCAAUGCUGGAUGUGGUGACUCGUGCCUAUAAUCCCAGCUAAUUAGGAGGCUGAGGUGGGAGGAUUGCCUGAGCCCAAGAGUUCGAGGCUGUGUUGAGCCAUGAUUGCACCACCGCACUCCAGCUUGGGUGACAAAGGGCCAUGUUUCUU
Molecule: long non-coding RNA, 2315 nt
Organism: Homo sapiens (human)
Lineage: Eukaryota; Metazoa; Chordata; Mammalia; Primates; Hominidae
Source: Ensembl